Triticum urartu is the source of this 639-nucleotide non-coding RNA. Lineage: Eukaryota; Viridiplantae; Streptophyta; Magnoliopsida; Poales; Poaceae. The record is from RefSeq and is a predicted model, not a curated record.
AAUCCCUCCCACCUGCUCGCCGCCUCCAUGCCACGCGCGCCUCGUCCUCUCCCAGCUGCUCCUGGUCGCCGGUCUCGACGCUGCGGCUGGAUACGGGGAUUUCUCCGCGUCCUCAUGCCCCUUCCACGGCGGCUACUACGGGGAGCACCACCACCAUUAACGCGACGAGAUCCAGCGGCUGCUACCGGAGGAACUGGCCGAGGAGGCAGAUCGCUCGACCUCGGUUCCAUCGAUCUUCAAGGUGCUUUGCUCGAUCGCUUGGCCUCGUUUUUGUCGAUCGGCAAGGUUCUUCGCUUGACUGGAUUGUAGGUUGGCUUGUGUGCUACUUGCCGAGUGUGAUAUAGAAAUGAUUGGGGCCUUCCAAUUUGGUGCUGAAAUUUAAGCAGCCACUUCAAUUUAGUGCUAUUCGGCACUGAGAUGCAAUGUAACCAAUUACAGAGCUAUAAUUCAUGGUAGACGAAAAUCGCAGAAUGGCGCAUGUUAUGAUUAAUCAACUCAUGGGCUUCCUAACGAUGUAUUAUUGGGUCAUUUGUGUAGGGUUUAACAUGCCCAUGGGAGUCAAUCAGGCGAUCCUGUGGCUUCCUUCUUAUUCACCUGACCACAUUCGAUGGAUGUCCGGGAGUGGUUCCGGCUAGAUGG